UGUGCACACGCUGGUCCCCGCCCCACUGGCUUCUUCAUGUCACUCGGAUUCCUGCUCAGAGAUCAGGCCCUUUGACCGCUAGAUAGAGCACUAUCCCUCCCAGUCACUCUCUACCUCUCACCUGGCUUUGCUUGUACUCACAGCGUCACAUAUGUACCUGCUUAUUAUCUGGCCUUAAUUGAAUGUGAGUUGCAUGAGGACAGGGGUUUUUCCUGUUUCGUUCACUGCUGCAUCUUCGGUGCCUGGCACACGCAGAGGGAAGAGUUUGUCACGUGGCCGCAACCUUCUGCCGUGGGAUCUACAGGAAGCUGGCUACAAGUCCGACAGCAAAAUAUGGGUGACCAAGGUGAAGAAGAUCCCCUGAAUCCUUCAGCCAGAAGAACCCAAAGGCCUAUAUUUUCCUGUGGAGGUCCCUUGGCCUUGGCUUUGCCAUCCGAGUGGAGAGCAGCGGGGAGCGGUGUCUAUGGUCUGCAGAGCCAUCCAUGGCACAAGUCAGUGGGGCUUUAGAGCCAGCUAAACUCAGAAUUGCAUUUCAGUCCUGCCACUUUCCUGCCUGUUGUGCAGCUUGGGCAAGUAAGUUUAUUUUUCUGAGCUCAGUGUCUUCUUUGGAAAAAGUCAAUGACAUGCUGUGUCCCUGUUCUCUUUGUCCUGCCAACAACAGUCAUGUACCAGGCACAAAACACUGAGUGUCUUCAGCCUUAUGAUUUUUAAAAUGUGACAAUUCCUAUUAUAAUCUCCAGUUGACUACAGAGAAGAGCCUGAGUUUUCAGGAACUCAAACUUCAAAGCCAGGUCUUAGAGGCAGACUUGGUUUAGCCUUGAUGCACUCCUGCCAGGCACAGAGAGUCUGAGCUGGGUGACAAGGCCUCUGUUGGGUGGCUCACGCUCUGGCCAGAGAAGCAGACACAUCGACUACGGGCCGUAGCACAGUGCAGCAAGGCUCUGCAGGAUUUGGGAAGGAGCCGUGUGCUCCGGAGUCGGAGAUGCCUCUGCUGCCCUGAAGGGCGAGGAGCAAGUAUCCAGCAGCAGAGGGUAUGACGCUGCUAUUACAGAAGGAAGACAUUUACAAGACCAGUUCAGCACGGUUUGAAGACCUGCAAAUAUUUGUGUGUGACCAGAGUUGGAACCGGUGACCACAAAGUGCCACGUGUAUCAUGUGAGGGGGAAUCUGGACCCUAGAGCACUGGGGACCCACAGAGAGUCUCAGUGGGAGUGACAUCCUCAGCUCUGAGUUUUAGAAAGAUUACCUGCCUCACAAGCUUUCUGCAGGAAUGGUCACAGCUCAACCACAAAGCUGUUUCAGACUGUGGUUGGGCAAGAAGCCCACAUAACCCUCAAUGCAGCUAAUGACCAGCUUGUCCGCACGCCCGCCCGGACGUGUUCGCCACAGCUGUCUUGCAUCCCUUCCUGACCUCAUCAGCCCCAAGCCCAGUGAAGUGCCACUGCGGAAGUCCCAGGCUGGAAUGGGACAGAGCAGGAAGCUGGGAAACCACAUGGGGACCCUUACAUCUUCCCCUCCUGGCUGAGAGGAGCCUGCGCACGCCAGCGGGGCCAGGCGCCGCAUCUGGGCUCUCCGUCCUGCCGUGCGUGGCCCCGCUGGGCCUGCUGGAGGCGCGUCUGCGAAUCUGCUUAACUGAAUUCUCAUCUUUCAAAAAUUAUAUUUCUGUGCUAUUGCCUAGAGGCAUUCAGGUAAUGGGUGCAUUUUUAAUAAACCCAAUAAGUAAAUAGCUGUAUUUGCUCCCCAGGAAACCCAGAGGGCCUAGAGCUAGAGCAUAGCCUCGGAAACAGUCACACCAGAAACUGGCCUAGGAGGCGCUCACAGGCGGCCUCUGGGUGACUCCUCGUUCCCAGGGCAGGUGAGGCUCAGCUGUCACCGAACACAGCCAUGAGUUGGCUUGGGGCGGCAGAGCUGGGCCACCCCACCGCGACACCUGUGGGCUGGCACACUGGCAGCUCCCCCUCUGCUGUUGACCGGGCAAUAGAGCAGACUGUUGGCAGCUGGAGAACAGCGCCCGCGGGUCUGGCAAAGCUGUGGGCGCCCGCCUUCACGCUGCGCUCCCUGGUCGCAGGCACAGCAGCACGGGCCGAGGGUGCAGGCUUUCUUAACGUGCUCCAUGGCGGCUCCUUACACUUCUGGAAACCUGCCCCUGGUUGCUCUCCUGCCCCCAGGUCUUGGCCUCCCAGACGCGACGCCAUGCCCCCAAGCUGUGCUGCCCUCCCUGCGCCUCCCUGCCGUCCUCAGCCCCCCAUUUCCGUCAGGCCGGCCUCUGCCUGGGACACUCCCUCUGCCGCUCCAGCCGCUCACAGUCCAGACCAAGUCUCACCUCUGCCUCCGCUGUAAUAAGUCUGCCUUGUUCAUAUCUUGCAUUUGGGACAUGCCACCUUGUGCUUGUAUUUAGCUCUUUGGGGGAGGGAUGCUGUGGGGCGCGGUGUCAACGCCAUUACAAGUUGGCGCCUGUUUCCAGCUUUGCCUAGAGCAGCUAACAAG
This is a non-coding RNA of Microcebus murinus (gray mouse lemur), 2487 nucleotides long. Lineage: Eukaryota; Metazoa; Chordata; Mammalia; Primates; Cheirogaleidae. The record is from RefSeq and is a predicted model, not a curated record.